Molecule: long non-coding RNA, 437 nt
Organism: Sinocyclocheilus anshuiensis
Lineage: Eukaryota; Metazoa; Chordata; Actinopteri; Cypriniformes; Cyprinidae
Exons: 3
Source: RefSeq, a predicted model, not a curated record
UGUGCAAGGUGAGAGAGUGGAAGAUAAUCCCGGCAUGGAUUUGCCUCAUCUCUGCGCUUCACAGAAACCUGAACAAACAAAAUAGAGUAACCUUAUCGGCCAUCAAAACUUUAAAAACUUUCGACACCAUCUUUAGCUUGAGAGAAUUUAGCGAGAAGAAAGCUGCCCACCGUUGUGCGAACGUGUGGAUGUAUUUACGGUUUAGGGAAGAAACGAGAGAUUUGAGAUUUGCGGAUGAUUUUCAGAGUUCGAUCAGACUCAAGACAGUGCAUUGAUUGCAUGCUGACCUUCAUCCGAAGGCGACUUUGCCCUUUCCAAGGAAACCAGAACCAGGCCUUCCAACAAGAAGAACAACACGAAAUGCCAUAGCAUUCGUGAAUUUGUGAGCGCAGUGCCUGUGAAGAGAGAUUAGAGCCUCAUAAAUGCUGUCUGUAAAA